UUUAGGCAGAUAUGUAAAGCAUAUCUGUACAAAUAAAAAUCUCGAACUAUUCAGUCUGGUCUUUGUGCUUGUAAGCUCGCUCUGGAUGCUGCACCUGUGGUUCAGCGUUGGGAUAAAAACAAUGUGUUGACUUGUAAAGUCUCAUCAUGUAGACAGCUCAAGGCGCUUCACACAUGACACACGAUGCAGGUGAUGUGACGUCAAAAUGAGAGGAAGUCAAAAUAAAGUGACGUCAAAAUAAAGUGACGACAGAAUGUCGGAGUUCAGCGGACCGUGUCACUACAGUUCAGCGUCCACACACAGCACGAAUAACAACCCGCAGUCCACACAUCAAAACAUCACACAAGCCACAAUACACUCCACAGCAAAUGGAACAAGUCCAGCAUGGGCUCAGGUCUGACUGGAACGACAAAUGAGUCCAGCACGCGCGAACGUUCGCUGACCAACAGAAGGUCAAGAAGACAUGAAGCUCACACAACUGCGCCGAUCGUCAAGUCAAGUCUGCAGGUCGGAAACGAACCCAAGCCACCGACACGGAGGAGGCAGAACAUUCCAAACCCACAAGGGCAGGCGUCAAAACACACACAAUCACAAGUCAGACUCAGACAUCAGGAAGACAUCAGACAAAACAAAAAUACGACCAGCCAGGUAAGCGAGGGGACAUCACUCUCAGAUUGGGAACACCCUGACACCAUUGUCACUCCAGUGCGAUCCGCUGAGGUAAUGAAUCCACUGAACAUUCCAGGGCUUGGUCUGAGGUGUAAUUCUGAUAUUAUCAACCUCUCUAAGUGUUGUAACAGGACCACUUCAGUUAUCAAGACUGGUUUUCCCCGAUAUCCACUAAAUAACUGGGCUUGUCGUACCCGGAAGACACUCCUCGAUAAAAACAAACAGAAGAAAGAGAAUACUUAAUGUCACUUGGCUCAUCUCUGCUAGGCACGACCGGGUACAUCAGUAUGAUAGAUGCAAGGCCUAAGCAUGCAGGUAUAAGAAAAGAUAACCAUGAAUAAAUACCAGAGUGAGGUGGGGUCUGUUCUUAUCUCUGUCCCUGGUCGCGAUGUUCGGUUUGCCCCCCCCCCACCCCCCAGUCCUUAUAGUGUCUACGUCACGUGACCUCACACCAUGUCACGCGACAUCUUUACUUCUUUCUUCUUCUCGGAUCUGCCAUAGGAACUAACGCCCCUUGGUCAGCUGACGUGGCCACCGCACGUUGAUUUGACCCUGACCUCUGAUCUUUUAAUUUCUAUGACCCUUUGCUCACCUGUACUUUUCUUCAGCUACAUUCCAGUCCUUGCUAUUACUACGUCCUGCCAAGAAAAGAUAAACAGCACUUCUUACCACAUAUCUACAGACAUGCUAUACAUAAGUCAGACUUGGCAGUAGGGAUAUUACCUCACACCAUCUGAAAAUGUGUACAUCGUUGCUGCAAAAUGUUCAGUCAAGCAUACAAAAUAUCUCUUCUCAAAAUUAGUCUAUAAAAGAACACGUGCUCAGUAACGCUUCGUUUACUUCAACUGUCUCAGACAGGUUUACAAUAAACAAAUAAAUAAAAGCAUAUCUCUUCCUGUCUCGUUUUGAUGUUCAUCAGUUUAGCAACGGCUCAUCUUCAAACCGCUGUAAUAUCAUUUAACAACGACAACGACAACGACACGCACUUCAGAAACUAUGGCGGAGACAUCUCUCAAGAGGACAGUAUCCCCGCAGCUACACAGCUCCUUACUUCUUUAUGGCGAGCUCCUUUUGAUGUAUAAUCGAAUAUGACAAUUGCCAUUACAAUUAUGAUAACAAGAAAUCAAUUUUAUUUUCCCUCAAGCAGUGUAAAAAAAUUUAGAAGGAGAGAAAGUAGACAAUUAUAUUUCUCGACAAUAUAGGUGUGUAAAUAACAGAAACCAUGCAAAUGGUCGCACUACUGUCGCACUACUGUCACUUAAUUAACAAGCCUCGAGGCUUGUAAUGUAUUUUGAAGCACGCUGCAGACACAAGCUAUAAUUUCCUCCCCACCAAUUACCUCUUAAUGCCAAUUAUUUUUUUCGCUAAAGAUACAUUUCGCUCUCCAGUAACAGACAGGAAGCGCAGGGACUAUAAUUCCCUGUUUAUAACAAGCUGCACAGAUCUUUUCUCAAUAGUAAUUUUCUACCUAAUAAUUUUUUCGCUCAGUGAAUAUUUGUCUGUUAAGAAACACUGAACCUUAGAAAAUGGAUUGCAUAAUGUUUAAACCAAAAAGACAUGCGUCAAUGGCGAAUCAUAAUUGGAGUGGAAAUUACGGUGUGGAGUGGAAAAAAAGUGCUGCCAGUGUCAUGAGUACAAACCCUUGCCCUAUAUAACCUCCAGACUCUUUGAAUUCCCAGUUCUUAACGAAUGAUUUGUAAGUUCAGAUAUUUCUCUCGCAACACAAAUUAAACACUAUCCUGAAAUUCAGUUCAAUACUCCUUCCAAAAGCAGUGGAGAUUUUCAAUGUGCUUGCUAUUUAGGAAGGAUGGAAAUUUUCAGUCAGAUGCCAAACUCCACCGAUUCUAAAGGAGAAAUUAUUGCUGUAGUUAUUGGCCAGUCGGAGGAUAUCGUUAGCUUUGAGACUUACGAGGUCUUCACCACGAUUACCCAGUGUGCAGUAAAACCUGUCCUGUUUCUGGUGGGCAUCCCGUCCAACGUCCUCAACUGUGUCGUCUUCUGGCGCCAGGGAGUCCGCGACCCCAUGAACCUCUGCCUCUUCUGUCUGUCCCUCGCUGAUCUUCUCCACAUGACCUUCCUCUUCGUACAGUCAGUCAUCGGACCGUUUGUCGAGUUUCAAGACAAGGUGCUAGGAAAAGAAAUUUACCAUAAGACGUCGGCGUACACCAAGUGGUUCAGUGUCGAGAUGUACAGCAUGUCCGGGUGUAUCAGCCUCGUUAUCGCCGUGGAGCGGUGCGUGUGUGUCAUGAUGCCGCUACGUGCGGUCUCCAUCAUCAGCACGCGCACCACGGGGAUGGUGCUAGCCGUUAUUUAUGUCAUCACCCAGCUGGGUUUCAUCGUCAACAUCUUCAACUACGACGUGGUGGCCAUAAAAGACAACCACACCGAUCAGGUCAUCGGAUGGACUUCGCUCCCUUCCAAACUUUGGCAAGAGAACUUAGUUCUGUUCACCACCAUCCAAAGACUCAUUCUGCUGACUAUUUUACCGUUUGGUAUAUUCGUAGGUCUGUCUGUAGCAACGGCGGUGACGGUGGUGAGGUUGAAAGCCGCCCUGCUGUGGCGGGAGAGCACCAGCUCCAGCAGCAGCCAGAGUUCCGGCCAGCAGAGGGCGCUGACCAAGAUGCUGGUGUUUGUCUCAUGCUUGCACAUCGUCACGGCCGCGCCUCAGCUCGUCUUCAUUAUAACGGUUUCUCUCGUCAGCGACUUUAACUUCGGCGGGCGUUACGAGAACACAUUUGAAGUCGUGGCAGCGGCUAAAGGUGUGAGUGCGAUGGUCAACAGCUCCUUCACCUUCGUUAUCUAUUAUCGCCAGUCCUCUCGCUACAGGCGCGCGCUGCGCCAUCUUUGUUGCUGGACGAAGCCUGGCGAUGAAGAGUCAACGAAAUGUAAUCACAGCACUACUUUCUGACAUAUGUGUAUCCGUUAAAUCUCUUAACAAGCAAGGAAGGUCAGUACUGCCAAUUAAUAUGCUUUAAUCGACAGCACAACUCUUGUGAUCAAAGAAUAAUGUUUAAAUGAGACUUAUAUUUUUAUAAUGUGUAGCCCCGAACCUGUUUCCAUAAGGUUACAGGAGAAUAAAACAUAACACUGGUAUAGAAAAUUAAUUCAAAAUUUAAAUUUACUGAAACAGUAAGCAAACCUUUGACUUCGUGAAAAACAUAAACAACAAAAAACAAAAAAAGGAAAGUGCUAAAGCGGAGCUAGCAAAAGUUCAAGCUACGAAUUGUUAAUGAAAUGAAUAGUUUUACAUCGGCGCAAGAUUUCUAUAUUUUAGUCUCAACCUUUGACCUGCGGAGGAAGUGGUUCAAUAAAUAAAGUAGUUGACACGCUCAAAGAGAAAAUGAUAUUUGACUUAAAUGAUCUUCGAGAUCAUGUGCCAAUAAACUUUAAACUUUAUAUACUUCAAAUAUCGUCUCAGACACAGGUCGACGACGGCUGCUAAGGUCGUUGUGUCAUCCAGUGGCGAGGGUUGUCAUUCUGGGGACAUCGUGUGAACAUGACUUAUCCACGGUCCACCACAUGCCUGUGAGAAUAUCAAUGUUAAAGUGUCGUAUCUCGCAAAACCCAACGUGGGGGUAUUUCUACCAAUGUUCGGAAGUAGACAUUUCAGUAGAUCCUUAAGAACAGCCCGUUAGUCUUUCAGCUAGUCAGUCGCGAAGUGUUUGUGCUCAAGAUGAUUACAAUUAAAAAUACCAAAGUACGAAGCACAGGAAUCUUAUUUUUUAUUUUCACGUUUAAAAAGUGCUUCACACAAAACCACAGACGAUAAUCUUUGACAUUGAGGAGCCUGCAUCAGACUUAGGUUCCUGUCAUGGCGAUGUAUCACUCGGUAUGAUAUUUAGUUGACUCUCCAGAAAAAUGACCCUGACACGUAGGACGGCAGGCAUUGGUUCAAUUCCACCGUAGGAAGUACACGGGCGAGAAAAUAAAGUGCAGGCACCUCUUUCUAACACUCGUGCGUCCCGUACAUUCCACGUGACACUCAGGGAUCAGUAAGUAUGAUAAGACAGAAUGCCGAGCAUAGCUAAUCAUUUAUCUACAUUGUUAGACCACGGACGUGUAUAAGUGGAUUGCUGUCUGCCGAGACCAGCACUUAGCCUCUUACGAAGUUCUCCGUUGUUAGUCUCGGUGAACAUAAGCAAAGAAUGUGAGUAAACCGGAAGUUGUGUAUACACCUGCCUCGUUUCAGUAGUUGAAAAAAUUGGUCUGCCAGCAGUUCAGUAACACAUGUUCUGGUUAGACUAGUCCACUCCUAGUGCGAUGACUGACACCGGUGUCGCGAUGUUGGGAGUGUGAGAGAUACCUGGGUGCGAUUGUAGAGGCAGCAGCACCCUUCCACGACAGGUGUGCGUCGUCAGAGACACGAGACCGCCACCCCGGAUGAAGGCGUCCACCCAGCCGUAGCACGGGCGAACUCUUCAGUUGGGAAGGACUCGAGGAGUGUACCUGUGACCUUGUCUGAGCACCUGGGCUUGACUCAGUAUUAAUAAAUAGGUUCAAGAACAGUUCGUCUGUUGUUUAGGACCUCAGCCUAGGGUCCUGUCGUUGCCAGAUGCUGUAAGUAAUGCUUUCAAAGCAAAUCAUGAUGUCGAAGUAAAAGGACUCACCAACAGUAAGUCGCUGAAAUCGGUUUUGGAUGUGUGUGUAGAGAAGGGGGUUGUGGGGUGAGAGGGUAGUUAAUAAAGGAAAGGGUUGUGUCAGAACUGUACGCUUGGAAGAUCAAACUGAUGACAAUGGCGACCUUGCUUUGAGCUCCUCUUAUCACUAAUGAAAGCAUCUAACUAGUUAUUGCUUCACACUUCAUGGGUUGGGGCCACAUCAAACACACGGAAGUGUGAAAGGACUUUUUCAAAGAAUGGGAGAAAAAAGUCGCUGAAUUGUAGUCGCUAGCCUUAAAGGCACGCCCAUCCCUUCGUGACAAACAGGUAAAAAUAAAACAGAAACACGGCAACUACAAUUCCCACGCUAGUCGAGUAAGGACUACAAUGCCAAGUAAUAUCAAGUAUUACUCUAAAUCAUUUUACCGCAGCUUAAAAUUUGAAGAAAAAUUAGAUAAAGAAAUUCUUUCGAACAGCACCAAAGGGACAUAGUUUAACCACAGAGUAAG
Molecule: RNA transcript, 5776 nt
Organism: Pomacea canaliculata
Lineage: Eukaryota; Metazoa; Mollusca; Gastropoda; Architaenioglossa; Ampullariidae
Exons: 2
Source: RefSeq, a predicted model, not a curated record